GGCCAUCAUGAGCAUUUACUUCUGACACUUCUUGUAUGAGAAUGAACUUGCCCUGUUAUCCCUUCCAUGAGCAGAUUAGCAACCCUCUGAGCU
Molecule: small nucleolar RNA, 93 nt
Organism: Triticum dicoccoides
Lineage: Eukaryota; Viridiplantae; Streptophyta; Magnoliopsida; Poales; Poaceae
Product: small nucleolar RNA snoR1
Exons: 1
Source: RefSeq, a predicted model, not a curated record